AUGCUCGACUUCGACUCCGAAGACUUUGAUGGUAUGGACGAUGAAGCCGGAGACGAACAGGAACCACCGCCCUCAAGGCGCUGGACCGCCACCUCAUCAUAUGAUAUAUACAUGGUGGACACCCCCAAGGAAGGCAAUGGCGAUGAGACAGCGGAGGAUGACCCCUCCAAGAAGCAGCCCAAGCGCCGACGUCAGCGGCGCCGCUCUAAGUCCCGCCACAGCAAGAGCAGUGAUACUGGCACAGGAGAUAAUAACACUCCGGAUAGCACCGUAGACAAUGAUACGUCUCCAACGUAUCUAUAA
This 303-nucleotide ribosomal RNA is filed under the name Triticum aestivum (bread wheat). RNAcentral's name for it is "partial small subunit ribosomal RNA". The record is from RNAcentral. Lineage: Eukaryota; Viridiplantae; Streptophyta; Magnoliopsida; Poales; Poaceae.